CGGUUGAUCCUGCCGGACCUCACUGCUAUCGGGGUGGGACUAAGACAUGCAAGUCGUACGCCUCCCAGCCGCCGGGGGAGGCGUGGCGCACGGCUCCGUAACACGUGGCUAACCUACCCUUGGGACGGGGAUAACCCCGGGAAACUGGGGCUAAUCCCCGAUAGGCGAGGAUGCCUGGAAUGGUUCCUCGCCGAAAGGGCACCGGAACCGUGCUUCCGGUGUCGCCCAAGGAUGGGGCCGCGGCCGAUCAGGUUGUUGGUGGGGUAACGGCCCACCAAGCCGAUAACCGGUACGGGCCGUGAGAGCGGGAGCCCGGAGAUGGGCACUGAGAUAAGGGCCCAGGCCCUACGGGGCGCAGCAGUCGCGAAACCUCCGCAAUGCGCGAAAGCGCGACGGGGCCACCCCGAGUGCCGCCCGCUGAGGGCGGCUUUUCCCCGGUGUAGAUAGCCGGGGGAAUAAGGGGAGGGCAAGUCUGGUGUCAGCCGCCGCGGUAAUACCAGCUCCCCGAGUGGUGGGGACGAUUAUUGGGCCUAAAGCGUCCGUAGCCGGCCCAGCAAGUCUCCCGUUAAAUCCAGCGAUCUAAUCGCUGGACUGCGGGAGAUACUGUCGGGCUAGGGGGGCGGGAGAGGCCGGCGGUAUUCCCGGGGUAGGGUGAAAU
Molecule: ribosomal RNA, 658 nt
Filed under: uncultured archaeon
Lineage: Archaea
Description: bacterial SSU rRNA
Rfam family: Archaeal small subunit ribosomal RNA
Source: RNAcentral